GCGACGAAGCGUAGGGCUUCUUCGGCGGAGUGCAAUGGCGAUGGUGGAGUGCCAUACCAUUGCUCGUCAGUCCCGCGGGUCCAUUAGAGUGGCCAUGCUGUUGUAGAUAAUCGCAGGACGGCGUGCAUCGUAUUGUCCAUCUCGUUGAAGUGCAACCGGAGGGAUUCAUAUUCUCGCCACAGUUGCGUCUGCCGUGGUGGAAGCGGUGAAAUUUGGUCGAGCAUGGUAUUCAUGCCUUUGGACAAUCCCAUGCUCAACCUAUAGACGUUGGAUUCUCUUCUGGAUAGGUGUGGUGCCCUCGAAGGGAAGGCAGAGACAUGCAGCGACAGGCGUCGACGCCUCAUCAUGGCUAGAAGCUCUUGUACGUGAAAAGAAUGUCUUCAACAGUUGAUUGCCAGUGUAUGAGAGAUGUGCCGUUGCUGGAGGAGACCUACAAGAAUACCUCGUAAUUCUGAAAGAAAAUUCACUCAAGUUCAGUAUAAUUUUGAAUUGGCAAGGCUUUUUUUUUAAUAUGACGGAGUUCUUGAUAUGAAUGAUUUGUGAUUCUUAUUUAGCGCAAUAGUUAUUAACCCAAUUCUUCGGUCUUUGACAUAAAAGUGUGCUUCUGUCGCUUUCAACGGCUGAGACUUUCUCAUCUACUAUUGUAUAUUGGGCUAUCGACUGGGUGGUGUUCUA
Physcomitrium patens is the source of this 675-nucleotide non-coding RNA. Lineage: Eukaryota; Viridiplantae; Streptophyta; Bryopsida; Funariales; Funariaceae. The record is from RefSeq and is a predicted model, not a curated record.